GGGGAUGCUGAGGUGCACUACUUUUCUGUUACUCCAGAAAGAGAACAUGAUGACUUCCUAGGACUGGAUAGGCAUAUGAGGAAGGGCAAUGGAUCCUGGGGUCUUGCCCAUUUUGACCAAGGAUGCUCUUGCAAUGGAUCACUCCACCAAACCACACUCCUGCCCCUGUUACUGCUACUGCCUCUGUAGCAGUCUCAUGAGAUGGCUGGUCUACUGGGGAGGACCUCAGUAGAUCAACCCCUGCCUCAGAAGGCCAGAGGUGUCCUUAUAGCCACCAAACUAGUAGUCACUGAUAGACCUGUCCUCUAUGAAUUUGAAUUUGUCCUCUUAAAAGGAUGAAUUUGUCCUCUUAAAGUCUUGGCCUUCCGUUGGACUGCAUGAUCAUGCUAUUCAACAAUGGGGGCCCUUCUUGCGUGUGGCCCCUGUUCUCUCUGGUUAAUGACAGAACUUUUGCACAGUGACCUGCUCCUCUCCAGGGACUCCUUUCAUGAACCCAAAGGGGUUUUUGAUUCUCCCUGUGUCUAGGCGAGCGGUUUGGGGAAACACCGUGACCAGGGAGGGGUCUUUACUGUUGUUCAAAUCUCCAGGGUUCGGACCAGCUUUGCACCGUAUGCCGAUCUGCUGCCACAGGGAAUCAUGGGAGAGGGGUGCUCCAGUUUGCAGCCAUGCCAGGCAAGUGGGAUUGCCAUUACAGGCAAAAAUGUAUUCAAAAGAGCGGACGGGCUGGCAGAGGGCACACUUUGACAGCUUCUUCAUGUCAGUUGCCAAGACAGGGAGAGCUGAGGCUUGCUUGUAUAGAACAACCUGGCUGGGCAGCAUCUGCCAUCUGGUCCCCAUGGCCUGACCAGCUCGUGAGAGAGCGGUCCAUGGGCAAAGGGAGGACUGCACAUUAUCAGCGACUAAGCCCACCAUCCCUUUCCCCACAGACAGUUCUUCUCAUGAAGUGGUUUUCUCAUGGCCUUUCACUCUCAUAAGUGAGCAGUCUGCUCAGGAACAGCAUCCAUCCUCAUCACGUAUCCUUUCAAUGAUGGUGAUGCUGCUCCUGCUGGAUGGUUUUUCUCAUGAGUAUGCCUAGGGACCCUACAGGUUCACCCAAGGGGAAGGGGCUAGGCCUCAAGAAGUCCUGGCUGGGGCUGCCUUGUAAACCCAACCCUGGGCAUCACCCCCACACACACCAGCAUAUGUUGCCAUUCCAGAGCUCUAAUGGGGUUGCCCUGUUUAUGUUGCCACCCCCAGGACAUGUGAUUCUGAAUAUACAUCUUUUUGCAUCAUUUCCAGAGAGCAAAGAGCAUAAUGCCUGUCUUGUCAUCUCGUCCCCUUUCUCUUCUGAUUGCCAGGAGCGGGGAACAAGGGACAGGAUAGGGAAGGGUCAUGCCCCUGGAUGACUUUGCUAAUUGACAGGCUGACAAGCUCAGGAUGGGAUGUGGCAGAGUCCCUGUUGCCAGGCAACAGCUUUGUUGCAUCAAAGAUAGGGGCAGGACAAGUGUUGGAGGCUACAACAGUCUAGAACCAUCUUAUUUAUGUAUUAUAUUAAUUUUCUUUGUAAACCACUUUGAGAACUUUUCUUGAAAAGUGGUAUAUAUGAGUAAUCAUAAUUAUAGUAGUAGAACCUUCUCAAUAGACACUCUAGAGCUAUGGAAUGCUCUUCCAUGGACUGUGCAAUUGUCUCCAUUCAUUCCGAUGCUUCAAAAGCAGGUUACAACAUUUUUGUUUCUCUUAUACUAGUUCUUACAUCUUGCUGGUGCUUUCCAUUAAUCAUUGAGUUUUACUACAAUUGUGUGUGUUUAUGCUGUUCUGAUUUGUUUUUAAGUUUGUCUGCUCUAAGCUACCUUUAAAUAAGCCACCUAAUGGCACAGCGGGGAAAUGAAAGGACUAGCAAGCCUGAGGUUGCCAGUUCAAACUUCUGCUGGUAUGUUUCCCAGAUUAUAGGAAACACCUAUAUGAGGCAGCAGCAUCGGAAGAUGCUGAAAGGCAUCAUCUCAUACUGUGCAGAAGAUGGUGAUGGUAAACCCUCCUGCAUCCUACCAAAGAAAACCACAGGGCUCUGUGGUCGCCAGGAGUCGACACCAACUCGAUGGCACACUUUGCCUAAGCUGCCUUUAAAUCUUUUUAAAAAUGAAAAUUAGUAUAUAAGUUGAAUCAAUUAAAUAAAUAAACAUAUCUGAUCUGUGCUGUACAGCAUGUAUUGUUUCUAUGUCCAUCCAUGUGAUUAGUAAGGACAGAGCUUCCCAUUGCUGAUGUGGAGGUGCCCUUCGGAAAAUGGAUUUCCCUUUUCUACAAAUAUUUCUCAUGUUUCCAGCUGGUAAUUAAAACAGAGGAGAUCCAUUUUAAUUACCAACUAAUGAAAGCAGAGGAGAUCCAUGCCAUCCCCUCACUCCUGGUCCACCACAGGAUCCUUAAAAUCUGUCCUCAUUGUGUUUUAAUCAUGCUUUUAAUGUGUAAUGCCUUUGAAUUCCAGGACGAAAGGUGGUUUCAUAAAUGUAAAUAAUAAAUAAAGCCUCCAGAACUUAUCAUGUGUUUCUGUAACCUGAAGCCUCCAGUUCCAUGGAGCUGUGCUACAUCCUGUCCCUGGCAUUGGAGGUAGUGCUAUGAGAAAGAGCCUCUCUCCAGUUUCACUCGAGAUCCACUGGAGGUUGUAUCUCAGUGCUACUGAAGUUGGAUCCGAUUGCUACUGAACUGCCACAAAUGCAUCAUUAAACUAAGGCAAGGUCCUCCAUCAUUUGUCAUUAUGAGCAGAAGUUCACAAGGUCACAUUUGGCAAUACUGGAUAGAAUUUAGAUAAAAUUCAGAAAUACCUUGUUAUUUGAAAAGAUACAAAUGUGAGCCUCAAAACUUUAAAAAUAAUAAUUCAGUUCUAGGCUGACGAAGACAUUAACUUCUCCAUUGCUGCCCCGAGGCUUUGGAACACACUUCCUGCUGAAAUAAGAGCCUCCCCAUCUCUUACAACUUUUAAAAAGGCAUUCAAGACGCAUUUGUUCACCCAGGCUUUUGAUUAGACAUUGUUUUAACAGUGUUUUAAUUGUGUUUUAAUAGUUUUAAUGUUUUAAAUUUUAAUUGUUGAAAUGUGUUAAUCUUUUUAUUAGUUGUUUUUAUUGUCUUGUAAACCACCCAGAGGACUUGUGUUUUGGGCGGUAUAAAAAUGUGUUAAAUAAAUAUAGAAAAGAUUUUUUACUGCUUAGAAAAGUGUGUGGCAGUGUUUAAACCUAUUUGGCUUUUUAAAAGGCAUAACAGCUUUUUCUAAACUUGUCAAACAUGACAUCCAUUUUCUUUUUAUUAACAGAUUCUGUUUCACAUCAAUAGGUAAUAUGCAUUUAACAUUAAGCAACUGUACAAAGAAGUGCAUUUCUGUAUGUAAAAAAUGGCAUUAUAUUCCUCAUAGGAAAGAUAAUCGAAAUCUAAGUCUUUUUUGUGAAAACAUUUUUGUCUUUUGAAAGAAAGGCUAAAGACCUCAAUUUAGAACAUCCAUUCUAAAAUGACCAGGCUAGUCACUUGAUGGACAUAUCCAGAAAUUAUUUAGUGCCUUCGUUAUUUUUAAUACUGCCCUAGACCUUGGCCUCCUUUCUCUAUGUAAAUUUAAAAUAACCUAAAGCACUGAUCCCAAAGGACAAUUCACAUGCAUUAAUGCAUUUCAUAAAUAUGUUGGCAGUGUUCAAUUAUAGACAGGCAUGUAUUCAUGGACUUGUUAAAAGUUUUGCCUUGUUAUUUUACCAUUGGGUUGUUUUCCCCAUCAACUGAAAUAAUUCAAGAACUGUAAUUUUUUUAAGGACAUCUACCUGUGUCCUUAAAGGUAAAAUUCUUUUAGGAGGAGCCAGUUUCAUAACUAAAAGUAAGUAUUAAUUUAACAGCUUGUCAGUAACAUUCCUGAAGCCACUAGUGAUGUUAUUAUUUAUUCAUUUCCUGGUCGCUCAUUUGAUUCCUCAAAUUAUCACUGAUGGAUUUCCAAAUAGAAGUGUUGUCCUUGAUCCAUCAACUUCUGUUCUUACAGUGGCUUGUUAUGUUACUGUCACUGAAAUAAGUGAAAGUCACUUUACUAGAACACAUUAGUGGGAAUUAGAGCUAAUGUGUUCUGCUCAAGACUUUACAGUCUAGGAUGAUGGCAAACAGGAUGCUGGACUCUAUGGUCCUUUGUUCCGAUCCAGCAGGGCCCUUCUUAUGUUCGGUCUGGUUCAGGAACUCCUUAUGUACAUGAGUAGCAACAGAAUAAAGUAUUUGUUAGGACCAACUAAAAUGUUACAGAGUGGUGAGUUAGCGUUUGGGUUUUUUGUCAACCUGUAUGUUAAGCAAAAGUACAAAGAGUAAAAAGCUGGCCAUGGAAAAACUCAAAUUCUGCAGUCUGAUUAACAUUGCUUACAUACUGCCUGAAGAAGAGUUCUGCGGAACUUGCUCACAAUUUAUGACAAUUUACUUGGUUCUAAAAAAGGUAUUACCUUACUGUUACCUUUGGAUUUUUUCUUAUUUAUUUAUUAUUUCUCUGUGUAAACCGCCCUGAGCUAUUGGAAGGGCAGUAUAGAAAUCGAUUUAAUAACAACAACAAUAAUAAUAAUAAUAAUGCACUGGCAUGGCUAUCUGCAAUUUUUAUUCAAUUUUUAUUUAAGCUCCCAUACACAUGGAGCUGCUGGGCUUCUGGAGCAGCUUUUUACAGCUUCUCGUGCUAGUUGUAAAACUAUGUGUGCCCAUGAAAUACUGCAAUUGGGUGGUGGGGCAGAUGCACGCACCAGACUUCCCCCACCCCCCGGAACUUUGUCCCUGGGCUGCCGGGCAGCUUGCUACAUGCCUGGAAAGAACAGUCUGCAAAAGGGGGUUCAGGGGGCAAAAGGGGGUGUUGGGAUCCAAAAAAUUAGGCCAGAGGAGCCUCAGGCCAAAGGCCCGUGCACCGCCCCUGCCCCCAGCACUUUCUGGCUAGCUUAAAGCAGAAGGAGACACUGGACUCAAAAUGCAGUGGGGGGAGGGGAAUCCAAAAGGGACAGCAGUAAGCCAAACUCAGCCAGGAAAAAAAUAAUUUGGAAAGGAGGGCAGUUGGAAUGGGGAUGGGGAGACAGGAAGCCAAAACAGGCAGGACAGGAGAGUCAGAGACCAGACCUCACCAUCAGCAAAGACCAGAAGUAGCACCACAAACCAGCACAGCCAGAAAAGCAGCAGCAACUCUCUCACCUCAGCAAAUAGUGAUUUUCCAAGCCCAGAGGCUGGCUUUAAGUAGAAGUUAAUCUCCCUCCUUUGGGAGCACCCACCCUUGCCCUCCCCCAGGACCAAUAGCGUGCCAGUUCUACAGGACUGGCAGCACUGCAGAGCUUACCAGAGAGCCGGAGACAACUGGCCAAUCAGGGAAGCAGGAUCUCAACAAAUCACAGCAAGUGACAGAACAGUCACAAAAUGGCCACCAGCACCUAAAAUUGAGGCUCAAGCCUUCGAGCUUCUUUGAACUGGUUCAAUAGAUCUAGGCUCUGUUCUAAACUCAGACUGGCAUUGCUAUAGGAAUGCCCUGUUUGGUCCAAGUUCAAAUUCGAACCUGUUUGCAUAUCCCUAACCCAGUCCCCUCAACAUGUGGGUGCCACAAGCUGUAAUUAACUCAGUCCCAAUUUCAGCACCAGCUGUGCCUGCUACCAUAGCUACUCUCUUUGUUUUUCAGCUGAAACAUACCUGGCAGCUGAUGCAACAAUCAGAAGGUUUCCUGCAUCAGCAGCCUUGGCAUGGAGGAUAUCAAGACCCCUGGGGAAAGUAGUUUUCCAGGACACAGUUGCUGUAGUCCUUUUUUGAGAUUGCUACUACUGCCAAGUAGGUUUUGGUAAAAGGGAAAAGAGCAGCAGGACUGGGGAGGCCUUAAGGCCACAUUAUGUUCCUGGUGACAAUCAUAAUUGGAAGCACAAAAAGACUUGGAGCUCAAAAUGGGUCAGAAUUUUAAAACAAGCUAACUUGGCCCCAAUGCAUUGUUUUACUCUGGAAUGGCUUUUAAUUGUUUUUAUGUGAUACUGUUUUAAUGUUUUGUUUUGUUUUGUUUUUAUAUUGGAUUAUGUACACUUCUUAGAGAGAUAGCAGGCUGUAUAUAAAUGUGAUAAACAAAUAAGUAAACAAAUCCGAAAUCAGUCCAAAGUAGAUUGUUUUAGGCAAGCCCUUUCUGAAUCAAGCCUGGAGAAGUUCAGCCAUCAUCAGAACUAACCUUCCUUGGAGUGUUCAAGAACAAGUUGGAUCCACAAAGCUUCCUUCAAGUAAAUUCACAGCACUAGGUGGAAGCGGUGAGAGGAUCCUGAAUGAGCCCCCCUAAAAAUCCCUCGAGUUGGAACUGAGGCUAUAAAGCUAAGACCGGAACUACAGGCAAGAGAUACAGGAGCUACAGUUCUUGUUGUUGCAUAGGUAUAUACUACAUGCUUGUGUACUGCCCAAAUGGUUGGGUUAUGAUCCAACACAAUGAUGGCAAAUGUCUGCCCCUCACAACUCUUCAGUCAGGUUGGAGAUAUGAUACAGCUACCAUGGCUUAUAGCCUCAGUGGGGGGAGGGGGAGACUAUGAAGUAAAGGAGAUUUCUUUCUUCCUCUUUACUUUAAAACACAAGCCACAGAACGCAAAGCAGAUUCUUGUGCGCCGCCUCCAAAUUGAAGCAGCCUGUCCCCUGCCCCCAUCAGCUCACAGGCUGCAUUCUCCAUUUUGAGAUGGGGGUUUGCUGAGGACUAAAUCGAGGGGAGGUGAUGCAGAAGAAUGGAGGUAAGGUGGAGGCAAAGGAGGGAGAAGGGAGGAAGAGGAGCAGGCAGUGGGGAGAGGAUCUUACAAAAUCUUCCAAGGAGCUCUGUCAUGACAGCAGGGAACCUUCCAACAGUUCUAGUGUUCUGUCCAACAAUUCCUGACAUAAGGCAAGUCAUGUCCAAAGCUCUAUCAGACCUGGCAUGACACACAGCCCUAUACUGUACUAUGCUAUGUGGUGUGCAAAUUGACAUCAACUACAUGAUUCUCUGCAGGGCUGUAGCUAUAAUUGAGUGGAUGGAUUCAAAGAACCCAGGCCUCCCAGCUUCUCAGGGCGCCCCCAGCUCAAUCCCUCCCUAUUUUCUUGAUUAUCUCCCUCACUCCGAGAGGCCGCCAGGGAGAGGAGUGAACACAGGCCCUCUCUCCCUUAGCUAUGCCCCUGAUUCUCUGUCAGUAUACUUUUCAACAUGUGGCCCAUUUUUCUAUAGAGGUUGCCUCUGUAGUGGAGUAUCAGCAUGUGACCUGAUUGGCAAGAGCACAUUCAGAAAGUUAUUGUCCUUGAACAAAGGAGGCAUGGAGGAAAAACACCACCACCUGGCAGACCCACUCAACAGCCAAACCGGCAAGGAUAUUGCUGGCUGAUGCUCCUUAUACUUUGUGAUAUGCAGCCACUUUUUAAAAGUUGGGCGACAUCAAGGUCAUGGAAACCGUUAACAGCUUGUCAUGGUAAGGGCACUCCCUAAUGCAUAACAGGAAAAUAUGGUUCAGAUAAGCGGGGAGCUUUCUAAUGGAUCUGCUUAUAUAAGGAGUGAUUAAAAGCUUCUGACAACCAAGGUUGCUUCCCUUCCUGUCCAUAAUGUAAAUGGAGCACAUUAGACGUGAGGCUAUGAAAAAACCAGCCUACCUGUUCAUAAAGAACUGAAAAGGAGGACAUUACAUUUGGACAAUCAAACUGGUUCACACUGAGUAAUAAGAAUUUAUAGUAUUUAUAUAGCUCUUUUUGAGUGUUUACUUUCUGUACAAUCACUUUACAUAUAAAGGCACUUCACAUGCAA
Long non-coding RNA from Hemicordylus capensis (graceful crag lizard), 7726 nucleotides. RefSeq lists it as uncharacterized. The record is from RefSeq and is a predicted model, not a curated record. The transcript has 3 exons. NCBI's taxonomy places the organism in Eukaryota, Metazoa, Chordata, Lepidosauria, Squamata, Cordylidae.